UAUUCUCAGGGCGGGGCGUAAUUCCCCACCGGCGGUAAAUCAGCACAGGCUGAAAGCCCGCGAGCGCUUCGAAGCUACUGUUUUGAAGGACAGCAGAUCCGGUGAAAUUCCGGGGCCGACGGUAAUAGUCCGGAUGGGAGAGGAU
Molecule: non-coding RNA, 145 nt
Filed under: insect gut metagenome
Description: FMN riboswitch (RFN element)
Rfam family: FMN riboswitch aptamer (RFN element)
About the family: The RFN element is a highly conserved domain that is found frequently in the 5'-untranslated regions of prokaryotic mRNAs that encode for flavin mononucleotide (FMN) biosynthesis and transport proteins. This element is a metabolite-dependent riboswitch that directly binds FMN in the absence of proteins.
Source: RNAcentral